ACAUCACACAAACCAGUCCCCAGCAAUAACUAGUGCUGACUGGUUCACCACAGUCAUCCUGUGAAGACAACUUACUGUUGUUGACAUCCAAGCCAUGUUUCUUCUCCUUCAGUCUCAUGGUGUUGGGAGUAAGAAGGAACUCCAACAGAAUAGGGCUCUGCAGUGAGCAGCAUGUGUGGAUUCCAAAAGAGCACAACCUGACAAAGUAGAUCCUUCUUAGGAAAUGAGCCAGUUAAAAGAAACAGAAGCACUGAUGCUGAAUUCAGAGAACCUCAGAGUCAGGAUUGUCUCUCUCUGGGAGUUUCAGAUUAAUGCAGGAUAAAGAGAUUUAGUCGGACUUUGGUUCUCUGCUGCAUUCCUCUGACAUACCACGGAUACCUGAGGCAGAACAACAAGGAUAUAGAGCUUGAAUCUGGAACAACAGUUGAGAUCUCCCAGCCAUCAGGAAACAUAGGAGACAUUUGGAAUAAAAACAAGUAACUCUGAAAAGCAGUAUACAAGAAGAGACUUACCACUGAAUGAAGAGCAGGAAAGAAAAUACCCAGCUGACAACAGCUUUGAUCUUUUUACAGAAACAGAAACUAGAGGAGUGGAGGUGCCAUGAGGAGGAGGUGGAAGCAAAGAAGUCACAAUUAGAGAAAACAGCACAAGAACAGAUUUGGCAGCAGCAGCAGGAUUACCACAGGAAGCUUCUGCAGUUCCAGAAGAAGCAACAGCUAGAGGAACAUGGAGCAGCAGAUGGUCUAUAGAAAGACUAAUGCUUACUUUAGCAGCAGAUAGCUCAUCAGAAUGAAUGAUUUCUGGUAAAGACAUAGCCUGUGUGUCUGCCUUGAAAUUCCUGUGACAGUACGUCCCAAACUUGCAGGACCUAAAGCUGCUUCUCUGUUAAACAGAUAUGAUAACAAUAGUCCUCUCUGCCACAGUCCCUGCAGCCUGAAAAGAGAGAAAUUCCACAGCCUAGCUACGAUGCAAUGUGCAAGAUGCUGGCAAUAACAUCACUCAUGCUACAUCUGAUCAUUUGUUUUCAUUACAUAUCUUCUCUGAAAGCCUGACUCCCAGUACCUACAGCUAAAAAAAAAAAGAGAUUCCAACAAAUAGUUGCAGAGAAAGGCUUGAACAAAAAUACGAUUACAAUUUAAGAAAAAUUCAUUUGAGACAAUAUUAAAUAUUGUAACACCAGUAUUAGAAUUUUCUUUUUAUCUGUAACUGAUGAAAAAAGUUCUUUCUUAAAUAGAAAGUACAUAAACAACUAAUAGUUGUUGGUGAUGUUCCUAAGAGGCACAAAAAUGCAGACAAAAAGGAGCAAUGUGAUUAGAGGAAGAAUGCCAGCAGCUGGUUGACAUAGCAGUAGAGCACCUGAAAUAUGAAGGAAAAAACUGAGAAAAGGCAACAUAUAAGGCUGAGGAGCAAAUGAAGAAAGAAGAUGCUAGACUACCUCUAGACAAAGCCAGAACACAAGCACAGCUUUUAAAUUUAAUCAGGUAUGUAGCUAUUAGUCAAAGAGUGAAGUUAAUGCCUCUGUAGUAGGAGUUCCAUCAGUGUAGUUAACGCUGGAGAGCACCACUGGUACCUUGGAGUUAAAACUGCCUUCAAUUCCAGCCCCAAGACACAAUGCUCUUCUUUUACUAUUUAACCAGUUUUUCAGUAUUUCCCCAAAUUGCACCAGCAAUUCACAUACAGCUGUAUUCUCUAAUUAUUUUAGUGUUUAUAACAUACUACAGAAAGAAGCCCAACUGGAAAGAAGCCCAACACCUGAAAUUAUGGUUACCUUUACACCAGAGCAGUCUCCACAGCAUACUUCCACAACUUCCUGCAGCACCUCAGAACACAGGAACUGGGAGGCUGCACAGUACAUAUUAAAACAUUGCAAAUUGCGUAACAGUCCUUAAGAGAAGCCUAGGUCAAUUUGUGAGCCACAAAACACUGCCAGGGAUAAGAGGCUGAGUAAUAACUACAGCUGAGCAGCAACUAGCACCUACUACUUGCUCUACUCUUACUGUUGUGACAGGAGAACAUGCUAGCCCACAAGAAAGUAUCAUCACAAGCCAACAUGUUCUUCCAGUCUAUUGCAAACCUUGCUCAAAGACAACUCCUAAGGGCAGCCCAGGCUCCUGCCCAGCCUCAGUGCUACAGAAGGCACCAUUAUGCGCUGUGGCAAAAUCAAAGAAAUGCUACUGCACCAGGAAUGAACUCACCAAGUGUGUAUGUGUCAAGUCAAUGCACUGGCUUUCUAACUCCAGAAGGAAUUGUGUUCUGCAUCCACUUCAUUAACACUGUUUGGAGGCAAAGAACAAAUCUGGAACCACCUCAGCAGUCCAAGGAGCAUGACUAAGGGAAGCUACCAGACUGGAACACACUCAACAUGUUCCUCAUCCACAGGUGUUUUCUCAUGUUCACCCAUUUGAAAAGCUAGGCCUGAAAAGAGUAUAAAAGAGUAAGUAAAUGCCUGGUGCUAGGAAUGGGUCACUGCAGUGAGCUCUUUCAGCUGCACUCAAAUUCAAGGAUCCAAUCCGGCUCGAGAGACCUUUUGGCACACGUGCUCUCCUUCACAACUUUAUCUUCCUAGGCUGCAGCAUUAGUCUGUGUAGACUAUUAACAAGAGGAAGUAAAAGCAUUCAUGUUUGAUCAGCCAGUAGAAAUGAAUCCAGACAGACCUCCUGAGGUACCAGAAUACAGAUUCUUUGGUCCAUUCUGUAUGAAAUCACCAGGUUACAAAAAUGUACUAAGACCGCCGUGCUGACCUCUGGAGGAAUCCUCCAAAACAAUAAAUUGCAAUAAACAUGCUACUGUAAGAAGAGGCUAGAUUUCAGACUCAGCAAUGAAAAGACUACAGAGAAACUGUAGCAAGACAAGUUCUUAUCUUCCCUAUAAACCAGGUUAUUCUCAUUUUUUUUUGCUUCUCUAGUAUUUUCUAGUAAAGUGUAACACUUGUAGAUUCAAUUCAUAUUGCAGUUGAGUCUCCUAUGGAGAAGAGUAAUCACUUUUUGCAAUCUCUAAAUUGAAGCCGAACUUUAUUAGGUAUGCAUUAAGUACUGGUUCUAAAAGCAAACCAAAACCAGUUUAAACAUCCAGCACAAUUCCUACUGGUCUCCAUGAGGUGCUUCAGAGGUUCAUUUUCUCAUUUAAGAAAAUUUACCCUGAACAGCAAUAAUUCAAGUGUGCACACAAAAGAUGCACAGCACAGGUCAACAUAAAUAUUUUAAUACUGUAUUCUUAAAUAAUGCCAGUUUCAAUUAGGAAAAGCUAAAAACUAGUAAACAAUUGUAGCAUUUUUAAAACAAUAGAUGGCUAGUCAAAAUUCAUGGCAGAAUUCACAUUUUAGCAUUAUCUAACAUAUUAAUUGAAGUCCAAAUCCUGCCAACAUUUAUGCAUUUAACAUCAAAAAACCCUAAUUUUAUCAACCGGGUGAUCAUGCAGACAUGUUUAUACUUAAGAGAAUACACAAAUUCUUUAGGCACAGCAGUUUUGAGAAAAUCUUUCAAAACUGAUACUGUAAAGUGCCUUUCAAUAAAGCUUUUAUACAUAACCAUAGUGAUUAUUAAAUAUAUUGUCACAAUUCAAAAUAAAGUAUUAGCUUCCACCUUCUAUUCCGUAACUGACUCAGUGAAGAUGGUUUUAUUCUCCCAACACUUUUUUUAAAGCACUUAAAACCAACUUUUUUCUAAUAUACAAGUAAGC
Corvus hawaiiensis (hawaiian crow) is the source of this 3678-nucleotide long non-coding RNA. RefSeq lists it as uncharacterized. NCBI's taxonomy places the organism in Eukaryota, Metazoa, Chordata, Aves, Passeriformes, Corvidae. The transcript is spliced from 5 exons. The record is from RefSeq and is a predicted model, not a curated record.